AUACGAAAGGUGCAAGCGUUGUUCGGAUUUACUGGGCGUAAAGAGAGUGUAGGUUGUAUAUUAAGUCGGAUGUGAAAUCCCGGGGCUCAACCUCGGAACUGCAUUCGAUACUGGUAGACUAGAGUUCGAGAGGGGUAAGCGGAAUUCCGUGUGUAGCAGUGAAAUGCGUAGAUCUACGGAGGAACACCUGAGGCGAAGGCGGCUUACUGGACCGAUACUGACACUGAGACUCGAAAGCGUGGGUAGCAAACAGAAUUAGAAACCCUAGUAGUCC
This 274-nucleotide ribosomal RNA is filed under the name uncultured bacterium. RNAcentral's name for it is "partial 16S ribosomal RNA". It matches the Rfam family "Bacterial small subunit ribosomal RNA", at positions 523 to 796 of the family's 1533-position model. The record is from RNAcentral.